RNAcentral lists this ribosomal RNA (536 nucleotides) under uncultured bacterium. Its description in RNAcentral is "bacterial SSU rRNA". It matches the Rfam family "Bacterial small subunit ribosomal RNA", at positions 146 to 669 of the family's 1533-position model. The record is from RNAcentral.
ACACCUGGAAACAGAUGCUAAUACCGGAUAACAACACUAGACGCAUGUCUAGAGUUUGAAAGAUGGUUCUGCUAUCACUCUUGGAUGGACCUGCGGUGCAUUAGCUAGUUGGUAAGGUAACGGCUUACCAAGGCAAUGAUGCAUAGCCGAGUUGAGAGACUGAUCGGCCACAUUGGGACUGAGACACGGCCCAAACUCCUACGGGAGGCAGCAGUAGGGAAUCUUCCACAAUGGACGAAAGUCUGAUGGAGCAACGCCGCGUGAGUGAAGAAGGGUUUCGGCUCGUAAAGCUCUGUUGGUAGUGAAGAAAGAUAGAGGUAGUAACUGGCCUUUAUUUGACGGUAAUUACUUAGAAAGUCACGGCUAACUACGUGCCAGCAGCCGCGGUAAUACGUAGGUGGCAAGCGUUGUCCGGAUUUAUUGGGCGUAAAGCGAGUGCAGGCGGUUCAAUAAGUCUGAUGUGAAAGCCUUCGGCUCAACCGGAGAAUUGCAUCAGAAACUGUUGAACUUGAGUGCAGAAGAGGAGAGUGGAACUC